GCUGUUGAUGCCGCCGACGCUGCUGUUGCUGCUGUUGCUGCUGCUGCUGCUGCUGCUGCUGCUGCUGCUGCACCUGAUGCACCGUAAUCACCAUUCGUCAUGUCGCGCGCGUCACCACCGGCCGACUUGGUACGGGUCCGCGGUCAUCGCAGCAUCGAGCGUGAUGUCGUAACGGCGCACACACAGUACGUAUAUGUCAAUGUCUGUUUUCGCAAUGUCUUCGACUCGGGGCCGCGCGUAUUGGAUACGGGGGAUUCCGCCGCGUUUCCGUCCGCUGGCCGUGUGGUGUGAUUAACCGCGGCGACGGUCUCCGGAAACGGAAGAAAAAAAAAAAAACGUACGGCGGUCGGACGAUUUCCGUGCGUGUGUUGUCGACGAUGUCCGCGGGGUCGUGCGAUUAGGUAGUGUCCAUCGUGGUCGCACGUCCCGAACGGGGUGAAUGUAUUUUCGGGCGGUUUGCGAAAAACGAACGGGCGAACGGGAAAAACGAUACGAAAAUCAAACGCGCCGGCAACAACGGUAAAGGCGGCGUUGUUAUUAUUUUUCUCGUUUUUUUUUUCCCACGUUUUUUUUAAAUUUUUUUUUUUUUUUGACAAACACGCAAAAGUCGCGCCCGGGGAAACGAAGGUGGAUGGGGGUGCGGGGGUGGGGCGAAUAAAAAAAAAAAAAACCGAAAACCGAACGGAUAUAGAAUAAAAAAAAAAAAAAAAAAAACGGAAAAUAGACGGAAAAAAAAAAAAGGCGGAAAACCGGACGCGGUCGCAACAAUAUUUAUUGCGGUUAUUUAUUUCGAUCGGCGGCGUAUCUGACCGGCACGACACGCGCACACGGAACGCACACACUUCACUCGGGCGCGCGUAACGACGACAAAAUGAUACGAGUCGCGGCGGGGCACGUCGCAUAUAUACGCGCGCGCGCACGUGGGGUAAGUCGGCCGAGCACCGGUGCACUCUUACGCCCCGAUUACGAAUAGCACACUGCGAGAGGUCGCGCGCCGCCGCCGCCGCGGCCGCCGUCGCCGCGGUCGCCGCCGCCCGUUCAUUGGUCAGUGCCAUCUGACGGACGACCGCCGGGACGUUAAACGCGUUAUUAUUAUUAUUAUUAUUAUUAUUAUUAUUCCGCGUUGACAAUAACGCGCCUAAUGUCCGUUUUCGCAUCGACGAGACACAAUCGUAACAUUGCAAUAUUUACAAAACGAUAACUCGAUAUUAUUAUUAUUAUCGUUAUUAUUAUUAUUAUUAUUAUUAUUAUUAGCUGCGGCGGCGGCGGUAGUAGUAGUAUUAAUAUACGCUACGCUGCGUGUAGUAUAAUCGGCGCGUAUUAUUACGUAAAAAAAAAAAAACAAUAACAGUAACGGUACGGUAUCGUAAACGCUAACGGGUCUUGUUUGCCGAGCGCGCGAAGGGCUCCCCGAAGGGCUCCACGGAAGGCGUUGUGCGGGCCGUCCCAUUUCCGUGCCGGGAAAUCAACUGGACGGGGCGCCCGCUUGCGAACGCGAAUCGUCGCGCGCAUCCGCCGAGCGGGCGACCCGACCGACUGCCCGCCCCUACCGGCCCGAGCGGUUCGUGAACCGGGAAAACGCGCGCGAACCGACGGCCUGCGCGGGAAGUGCCGGGGCACCGAAAUUUCCCGGCGCGGUCGCGUCGAGUCGGUUCUUCGCGAUCUAUUUGUCUGCGUUCGGCCGCCGCAACGCCGCCCCCCGAUCAACACGCAAAACGGACCGGACCUGUCAAGAUCCCCCUCCGAGGGUUCGUCGACGACUCGCGUCCGCCCGUUGACGGUCCGGUCUGUCACGAUUUCGAAUUCAAUCGUCUGUUCCGAGUGCGGCGGAAAACCGCAAUCAACGUUUUCGCGCGGGUCUCAAACCCGUCCGCGACCGUCAGAAUAACACGCCGAAAAGCCGCGGACGCGCACAAAUAUUGGGGCCCGUUGCGGUUUGCCGGCCGUUUGCGCCGAAGACGCCGGGAACACCGGCACCUCGGUGUCUCCGGACCCCCGGACGUUUGGAACAAUCAACGUGCCGUCGGCCGCGAGCGGACGGCACGAACACGUUUCCGCGAACGGCGCCCGGGAAUCGACGCUUUGAUGACGCGCCGUGUCCGCUGCCCGCCGUCGCCGUGACGUCGCGCGCCGCUGAAAAAUCAAAAGGCCGUACGAACAGCGACGGCGAUACGACGGGAACAGUGACGGCGCAACGCCGUGCCCGCCGAACGGGUAAACCGCACGUCCGUAAGACGGGGACGACGCGCGCGGUCGAAAACGUUUUCGCGAAUGAAAGAACGGUAACGGUCUCGUACGAGAAAACGAGAGAACCGGACGUUUUCCCCGCGCGUUUUCGCCCGCCGCUCUUGAGCGUAAACGAUACACGCGGUGACGUUUUUAAAGGUCCAGGCCUCGGCCGACGUCUCCGCGCGGACGCGUUACGUUCGGUUUUCAAUACAUCGGGCGCGGUACGAACGGCGGGUCGGUUUGCGGCACCGCGCCUUUCGUUCGGACCGGGAACGCGCGCGCGGGCAUUUAAAAAAAAAAAAAACACGCGGUCUCGCGUUCAAUUCAACCGUAGCAAUCCGGCGGUGGAUGUCGUUUUUUCUUCGAAUUCCCCCCGGGGAACCGGGAUACCGGAACAGACCCGCGUAGUACUUUGGCGACGCUUUUAGCGGUUCCGCCGGGCCCGAGCGAGCUCAAACGCGGGGGAGGAAUUCGAGUGGUCUCGGCAGGUUACAGCGCUAACGCGUUUCGGUCGGGUUUCGAAUUAGAAAUCGGUUUUCGAGACGCCGCGGUUUUCGGCUUUGCACGCGCCGCCGCGGAACGCAAUGCCCGCACCGAAUUCUACCGAGCCGAGGGAACCGUGCGGUUUCGUACGCGCCGAGCGUGCGCCGCCUUUCCGGGGUCUUAAUUGCCGAUUCCCGAACGGUCGAGUUUCGUAAUAGUUUUACAGUCGAAUUGACAUUUUAGGAUUCAAAUAUCUCCGCGCGUUCGGGUUUAGGACUGUGCGCACGUAUAAAACAUAUAGCGUAACGCAUAACUGUUUCCGUUCCGAUCCGUGUACGAUUGCCGGAGUCUACUAAUUGGAUGUUUCGGGCAACCUGAAAAAUUACGAUCGUACCCCGACGAUUGACGCCCCGAUUGUCCGGGCCGUGAUAGAGAAUUGACGGGAGCGGUGGACGUGAUCACGGUCGAAACGGGGACGCGAACGAUACAAAAGAACCCCCGAAAACUAUAAAUGGUAACGGUUCCGACGAAACUCCGGCAAUCGUAACCGUUUAAGGGGAAUUAUAAUAAUAGAAAAAAAAUAAUAAUAAUAAAAAAAUCGAAACACUGCGGACGCGAUCGGACGAUAAAAUAAAUACAACAACAUAAUCGUUAUUAUCGCGUCUACGCACCGUCAACAUAACAUCACAAGUACCUAUAUCGAUUGUAACUGUCGUAUAUACGUACGCAUAUUGUCGUGAUGUUACGUAGACGGAAAAAAACAAAAAAAAAAAAAAAAAAAAAAAAAAUUAAAAAAAGGAAAAAAAUAUUAUUCGUACGACAAUCGCCGCGGCGAGCGUACCGCUGUUCAAGUGGCGCCCGGUAGUGUAACAGCGUUCCGGCCGUGCGACGUUCGUCGCGGCGUCGUGAACGUCGUUUCGCGCCGCGGCCGGCCAUUCGAACGGUUCGCGUUCGUAUAUUAUUACGGUGCCGAACGGCACUGUCGACCGUAUCCGGGACCCGGAUCGCUGCGCGGCCCGGAUUCGAAUUCGAUCCGUACGGUCCGGAUCCCCGGGGGCCGAUCGACGAAUUGAACGCGGAACCGGCCAGCGCGGCCGCGCGGCAGCGAGCCGUUGUCGACACGCGUGUUUCGGAUUUCGGCGUUUGAAAAUAAACGAUCUAUUUCAGAUAUCCGUGAUCCGGAGGAUUACGUUUAUCGAUCCGGAUCCGGAUUGUAACGUUUGUUGGACGGUCCCGGGAUUCGGGUGCCGGCACUGUAGUUUAUAACAGUUUGUGUGUUACAAUGAUAUAACGGAGGGGCGGGGGCGGUUUGUUCGGUCCGCCGAAAAGAAAAAAAAGCGUCGACAAUUAUCCGUAACGUGCGGCUACUACCGCCAGUGCCCGUUUCGAUACCGGGCCGACUCGUAAUCUCCAAGUUAUCAUCGGAUCGUCAACGAUACAAUUGUUUUUUGAGAAAAAAAAAAACAACCAAAACAAUGCGUUCCCCGAUGUUAGAAAUUGUUUUCUGUCGUUUAAUGCAUAAAAUGUCGGUCGAAUUCGAUGAUAUCCGGCGAGGGGAAUCAUUUGAGCCGGAAAAAAAUGUUGAAACGUUUUAGCUGUUGGCCAAACAUAUUGCACAGCUCUGGUAAAACGAAGGCGUGUUCGCGUUUUACAUUCGUUAUCCUUGGUUCGGGAAAGCGGCAAACUCAAUGAGGUUUAAUUCAACUGCGACAAAUCGCAAGUGUUGUGUUGUUGUUCGCAGCAACGUCGGCGUCAAAAUCAAAGGGGUUCCGAACGUUGCAGUGCGUCGGCAUUUGACGAUUUCGCGUAUAGCUUUUUCAACGACGACCCCGACGGAAAACUUCAUCGUAAACAACAAGGCGAUUGCCGCGUUGAAAAGCCCGCGUGUUGCCGUCGAAAAUAACAAGAGCCGAAUUAUCCGUGAUUUUCGGUAAACGAACACGCGCGUCGAAUGCGUUUCCGCCGGGGUCCGUGCGUCGUUCAGGCCCCCGGCGAUUCGUCAGCGCCGAUUACAAACGCCCGACGCCGAAAACGAUAAUUCGCCCCGCGCGGCGUUCGCGCGACCGGCCGUGGGGCCGCAGCGAGCCGAACACCGCGGACCGCGAAAACGGCCCGGAGCGACCGGUAACCGCGCGGCGGGAGACGUCUGGCCGUUGCGCUAAAAGUCCAAUUUGUCCGGUGACCGAACGGCGCGUCACGCGAAAUAACUCGCGUAGGCUCAUUUACGGCGAUGGGCGCGAACAAUUUUUGCGGCGACAGCGACCGGACAGCACCGCAGACGUCUUUUGCCGUUGUUCUUCCGUCCCCCCCCCGCCAUCGUCCCGGCGCCGUUUGCGAUCGAUCACCGCCCGGUCUCCGUCGCAAACUCCUACUCGACCCCCGGUCACCCGCGCCGUCAUCGUCCGUCCCGCGUGGCCGCGUCACCGCCGUCGCGCGUUCGUCCCUUUCGUCCGGCGAUCUCACGAGCACGCCGCCCCGUCCGUGCGGCGGUCGGUAUUUUUUUUUUUUUCCACGAGAACGAACGACAGAGCAACGAUAACGAACCCGUCGGCUCGUCGCACCGAUUACGGCACGCCCGUCGGUAUGUUCCACGGCGCUUCCGGAACGGACGUAGUGUCGCGCGCGCGCCAACGCCAAAAUCACGGUUCGAGUCGGGGCAUAAAAAACGGCAGCGUCGGCAGACACCGUACAGGGGGGAGCGGGAGUUAAGUUUCUUCGAACGGACGUAGUAAUCGCGUUUUGUUGUUUUUCUUUUCGGGGGGGGGGGGUGGUGGUGGUGUGGUUUCGAGACGCGUUCCGUUAGAAACGACGGCCGUGGCCGGGUGGGUAUGUAACGCGCCCGCAACAUACGCGGUACCUGCCGGCGACAUGACGACGACGACGACUACAACAACAACAACAACAACAACAACAGUAAUAACAACAAUAACACGGCGACGGCGAUGUUGACGCGUACUCGCGUAACUCGUACACCGAGCGCGAACGAAUUGUCGGAGUUAAACGGAUACAAAACGAUCGUUACAAUAGCGAACGACACGGGCGGCGGCGCGGCACAGGAAACAUAAUUUCGGUAUACCGUCCGGUCGCGAAUCGAAAACUGCAAAUUGUCUUAGGAAAAACGGCGGCGGCGGCGGCGGCGGCGCACAAUAUAAUACGACCGUGUUGCAUUGUGCGGUAUAAUAUCGUUACGCGGUUACGAUUCGAGUCCCCGGAUGUUUAUGACCUAGAAAACGCCGCGAAACGAAUGAAAAAAAAAAAUAAAAAAAAAAAAUAGAUAUUAUUUAAAACAAUAAUAAUAAUUGUGUUCUCCGUAACGCGCGAAAUAACUUUCAAUGAAAUUUGAAUUUAAAAAAAAAAUAAUAAUAAUAAUAAAAAAAAAAAUCAGAUAAGAAUCGACGAAAAGAUGCGGAAUGCGUAAUAAUAAUAAUAACGCGAAAACGAUAAUGUACACCACAGCGUAUAAUAAUAUAAUAUUAUCGAACGUCGCGCGCCGCCCGAUAGAAUAGUCCAAAUUGAUUUUACCGAAAAUCGUUAUUGUUGUUAUUGUUGCCGCGGUUUUUUUUUUUUUCCGUUGUUUCGCUGUUUAAGCUUUUUUUUUUUUAUUGUUUUUUUUUUUAUUUUCUUUUUCCGACGGGCCCCGCCGAAACGAAAACGGCAUAACAAUAACGUCCCAACCGAUAUUCGCGCGUUCGUACUCCGGUCCGAAUCGCCGUCAACACGAACCGAAAAUAUUUCACAACGUUCGCGCGUCUUCCACGCGAAAAUCCUCUCGUGUUGCAUUUUCGCAUUUGGAAUACGUAACGGGGUACGAAUCGAACGGCGCGGCCCGUCGGACGCGCUACGUUUGAAACACGCAACGGCCCGACGGCCGUUGAUUCGAGCGACGGAACGGGAAUCCCAUCCGGAACGUGUUCACGGAUUUCCCGAUGGAAACCGUUUCGGCCGAACCGUAGAGUUUGCCGGAAAAUUAUCAAUUGUUUAAUAAAACAAACGCGAUAAUAAUUACCAUGCUUAAACAACGGUGUUUUUAGGCGCAACCGCAGAACACGUCCUCGGCGGUAUCUGGUUAUUGCACCAGAUGAUAGAGAGGAUUUUUUCCCAAACAUUGAAAAAAAAUGUAUUCUUGAAAAUUUUAGACAUAUCAUUACGUUGACAACGUUUUCAACUAAUAACUGAAUACGAUUUGAACUGAUGUUUAACAAAAACACAUUAAAAAAAAAUCCCAUAAAAAAAAAAAACUAUGUAAAAGGGGCAGAUAUCUAUAUAUUAUAUUAUUAUGUUUUCUUAGAACCCUGUUUGGGCAACUGUAUACGAUCCGAUGUUUUCGUAACUUAAAAAAACAUAACUUUAAAAAAUAUAUGAAAUUUCCACUAUUAAAAAUGUGUUUUUCCCGACAUUUAAUCACCUACUGUUUUCAAUUUUUUUUUUUUCAGUUUUCGGAGCAAAAUUCAAAAGCAAGUUGGAGCAAAACACCACAGCAUAAUUGAAUGUUCAUCCGCCAAUCAAUUUUGUCUAUUAUAAUAAUAAGUUACAAAUGUAUCUAAAUUUUUCCCUAAAAAAAAUGCAUGUUCUUCUGGCUUUAGUAAAGUGAGCAGAAUCAUGUUUAGGGAAAAAAAUAAAAACCGAUAUAUUAUUAUGAUGUGCGCCUACAUAAUAUUAACCUUAGAUAAUCAAUCGAGAUUAAUUUAAUUAAUACUACUAAUUUGAC
Molecule: non-coding RNA, 7420 nt
Organism: Cinara cedri
Lineage: Eukaryota; Metazoa; Arthropoda; Insecta; Hemiptera; Aphididae
Source: the annotation of a GenBank genome assembly